RNAcentral lists this ribosomal RNA (576 nucleotides) under uncultured bacterium. RNAcentral's name for it is "bacterial SSU rRNA". It matches the Rfam family "Bacterial small subunit ribosomal RNA", at positions 102 to 674 of the family's 1533-position model. The record is from RNAcentral.
ACGGGUGAGUAAUGCCUAGGAAUCUGCCUGGUAGUGGGGGAUAACGUUCGGAAACGGACGCUAAUACCGCAUACGUCCUACGGGAGAAAGCAGGGGACCUUCGGGCCUUGCGCUAUCAGAUGAGCCUAGGUCGGAUUAGCUAGUUGGUGAGGUAAUGGCUCACCAAGGCGACGAUCCGUAACUGGUCUGAGAGGAUGAUCAGUCACACUGGAACUGAGACACGGUCCAGACUCCUACGGGAGGCAGCAGUGGGGAAUAUUGGACAAUGGGCGAAAGCCUGAUCCAGCCAUGCCGCGUGUGUGAAGAAGGUCUUCGGAUUGUAAAGCACUUUAAGUUGGGAGGAAGGGCAGUUACCUAAUACGUGAUUGUUUUGACGUUACCGACAGAAUAAGCACCGGCUAACUCUGUGCCAGCAGCCGCGGUAAUACAGAGGGUGCAAGCGUUAAUCGGAAUUACUGGGCGUAAAGCGCGCGUAGGUGGUUUGUUAAGUUGGAUGUGAAAUCCCCGGGCUCAACCUGGGAACUGCAUUUAAAACUGACUGACUAGAGUAUGGUAGAGGGUGGUGGAAUUUCCUGU